GGGCGGCUUACUGGGCUUUAACUGACGCUGAGGCUCGAAAGCGUGGGGAGCAAACAGGAUUAGAUACCCUGGUAGUCCACGCUGUAAACGAUGAUUACUAGGUGUGGGGGGACUGACCCCUUCCGUGCCGCAGUUAACACAAUAAGUAAUCCACCUGGGGAGUACGGCCGCAAGGCUGAAACUCAAAGGAAUUGACGGGGGCCCGCACAAGCAGUGGAGUAUGUGGUUUAAUUCGAAGCAACGCGAAGAACCUUACCAGGUCUUGACAUCGAGUGAAGUAUUCAGAGAUGAGUACGUCUUCGGACACAAAGACAGGUGGUGCAUGGUUGUCGUCAGCUCGUGUCGUGAGAUGUUGGGUUAAGUCCCGCAACGAGCGCAACCCUUACCAUUAGUUGCUACGCAAGGGCACUCUAAUGGGACUGCCGUUGACAAAACGGAGGAAGGUGGGGAUGACGUCAAAUCAUCAUGCCCCUUAUGACCUGGGCUACACACGUACUACAAUGGCAAUCGAACAGAGGGAAGCAAUACAGCGAUGUAAAGCAAAACCCGAAAAAUUGUCUCAGUUCGGAUUGCAGGCUGCAACCCGCCUGCAUGAAGUCGG
Molecule: ribosomal RNA, 601 nt
Filed under: uncultured bacterium
Lineage: Bacteria
Description: bacterial SSU rRNA
Rfam family: Bacterial small subunit ribosomal RNA
Source: RNAcentral